Long non-coding RNA from Amphiprion ocellaris (clown anemonefish), 367 nucleotides. The record is from Ensembl. NCBI's taxonomy places the organism in Eukaryota, Metazoa, Chordata, Actinopteri, Pomacentridae.
UGAAAUAGUCCCAUGUUCCCACUGCUUCCUGUUUUGUUUCCCGACUGCUAUAACUCCACCUGGACUCUCUUCACCCCACUGGAUUCCUGCCGGUCCCAUCUCUGUGAACCUGCCUCGUCUCCCACCAGCUCCCGGAUUUGCUGAGCCUUUCUGCCACGUAGCUUCAACUUGUCUUGUAUUAUAUCUUGCCACUGGGGACUCUUUCAGAAUGAUAGCCUUCAGUUAUCGUGUGGUGUUCUGCGCAGUGGGUCGGAUCGUGAAGGAUGUGGCAGCGGCUAUCUGGGACACAAUGGUCAAUGAGGGUCAGAUUGUAGUGGCAGAAUCCAAGGAGAUUCCAGUUCAGAUGAGAUGUAAUCCCUCCAGUGAG